Molecule: ribosomal RNA, 497 nt
Filed under: uncultured bacterium
Lineage: Bacteria
Description: partial 16S ribosomal RNA
Rfam family: Bacterial small subunit ribosomal RNA
Source: RNAcentral
GAUGAACGCUGGCGGCGUGCCUAAUACAUGCAAGUCGAGCGAACAGACGAGGAGCUUGCUCCUCUGACGUUAGCGGCGGACGGGUGAGUAACACGUGGAUAACCUACCUAUAAGACUGGGAUAACUUCGGGAAACCGGAGCUAAUACCGGAUAAUAUAUUGAACCGCAUGGUUCAAUAGUGAAAGACGGUUUUGCUGUCACUUAUAGAUGGAUCCGCGCCGCAUUAGCUAGUUGGUAAGGUAACGGCUUACCAAGGCAACGAUGCGUAACCGAACUGAGAGGGUGAUAGGCCACACUGGAACUGAGACACGGUCAAGACUCCUACGGGAGGCAGCAGUAGGGAAUCUUCCGCAAUGGGCGAAAGCCUGACGGAGCAACGCCGCGUGAGUGAUGAAGGUCUUCGGAUCGUAAAACUCUGUUAUUAGGGAAGAACAAAUGUGUAAGUAACUAUGCACGUCUUGACGGUACCUAAUCAGAAAGCCACGGCUAACUACGUG